This 128-nucleotide small nuclear RNA is filed under the name Bos grunniens (domestic yak). RNAcentral describes it as "U2 spliceosomal RNA (ENSBGRG00000012287.1)". It matches the Rfam family "U2 spliceosomal RNA". From Rfam's summary of the family: U2 is a small nuclear RNA (snRNA) component of the spliceosome (involved in pre-mRNA splicing). Complementary binding between U2 snRNA (in an area lying towards the 5' end but 3' to hairpin I) and the branchpoint sequence (BPS) of the intron results the bulging out of an unpaired adenosine, on the BPS, which initiates a nucleophilic attack at the intronic 5' splice site, thus starting the first of two transesterification reactions that mediate splicing. The record is from Rfam by way of RNAcentral. Lineage: Eukaryota; Metazoa; Chordata; Mammalia; Artiodactyla; Bovidae.
AUCGCUUCUCGGCCUUUUGGCUAAGAUCAAGUGUAGUAUCUGUUCUUAUCAGUUUAAUAUCUGAUACGUCCUCUAUCCGAGGACUAGAAAAAAAAAAAAAGGUAUAUUUAAAAGCAAGAAUAACAUAA